Molecule: non-coding RNA, 86 nt
Filed under: Shinella sp.
Lineage: Bacteria; Pseudomonadati; Pseudomonadota; Alphaproteobacteria; Hyphomicrobiales; Rhizobiaceae
Description: Glycine sequence
Rfam family: Glycine riboswitch aptamer
About the family: This family represents the bacterial glycine riboswitch. Glycine riboswitches usually consist of two metabolite-binding aptamers domains with similar structures in tandem.
Source: RNAcentral
AAUGGCCAUGCGGAAGAGAUCGCGAUAGCGGCGCCGACGGAGCAAUUCCCCGAGAAUCUCUCAGGCAAAAGGACCGCAUGGCUGGA